GAAAAACCAACAGUGGUUUAAAACCAGGACCAGCAGGUCCAACCUAUACUAGCUAAACCACUUAUUGAUGAAAAACCCCCUCAAACAAAGCAACAUUGAUUAAGAGUCAAUUAAAUAAAGCAAAAUNNNNNNNNNNNAUUGGCUCACCAAUCCAUUCUAUCUUAUUGGAGAAUCCAAAGCUCAAACUCAGAAACUUCUGGCCUGAUACAAAUUUGCAAUCAAAAUCUCCCUUUCUC
This 236-nucleotide unclassified non-coding RNA is filed under the name Hevea brasiliensis (rubber tree). Lineage: Eukaryota; Viridiplantae; Streptophyta; Magnoliopsida; Malpighiales; Euphorbiaceae. The record is from RNAcentral.